CGAGGGUGCAAGCGUUAAUCGGAAUUACUGGGCGUAAAGGGCGCGUAGGUUGUUUAAUAAGUUGGAUGUAAAAUUCCCGGGGCUCAACCUGGGGGCUGUCAUCCAAGACUGUUGGACUAGAGAGCAGUAGAGGGAAGUGGAAUUUCCGGUGUAGCGGUGAAAUGCGUAGAUAUCGGAAGGAACAUCAGAGGCGAAGGCGACUUUCUGGACUGUGACUGACACUGAGGCGCGAAAGCGUGGGUAGCGAACAGGAUUAGAUACCCUGGUAGUCCACGCUGUAAACGAUGAAAACUAGCCGUUGUGAUUGUUUAGAUGACAGUGGCGCAGCUAACGCAUUAAGUUUUCCGCCUGGGGAGUACGGCCGCAAGGCUA
Molecule: ribosomal RNA, 372 nt
Filed under: uncultured organism
Description: partial 16S ribosomal RNA
Rfam family: Bacterial small subunit ribosomal RNA
Source: RNAcentral